UCGGGGGUGGCAGAGCAUGAAAUGCGGCCGUUUUAAGCGCGGUUUACGAGGGGGGUCCUCUCCCCGAA
Molecule: transfer RNA, 68 nt
Filed under: Spondylus violaceus
Lineage: Eukaryota; Metazoa; Mollusca; Bivalvia; Pectinida; Spondylidae
Description: tRNA-Leu
Source: RNAcentral